RNAcentral lists this ribosomal RNA (820 nucleotides) under Talaromyces aerugineus. RNAcentral describes it as "partial large subunit ribosomal RNA". It matches the Rfam family "Eukaryotic large subunit ribosomal RNA", at positions 83 to 921 of the family's 3401-position model. Lineage: Eukaryota; Fungi; Ascomycota; Eurotiomycetes; Eurotiales; Trichocomaceae. The record is from RNAcentral.
GUAACGGCGAGUGAAGCGGCAAGAGCUCAAAUUUGAAAUCUGGCCCCUUGGGGGUCCGAGUUGUAAUUUGCAGAGGAUGCUUCGGGUGCGGUCCCCGUCUAAGUGCCCUGGAACGGGCCGUCAUAGAGGGUGAGAAUCCCGUCUGGGAUGGGCGGCCGCGCCCGUGUGAAGCUCCUUCGACGAGUCGAGUUGUUUGGGAAUGCAGCUCUAAGUGGGUGGUAAAUUUCAUCUAAAGCUAAAUACUGGCCGGAGACCGAUAGCGCACAAGUAGAGUGAUCGAAAGAUGAAAAGCACUUUGAAAAGAGAGUUAAACAGCACGUGAAAUUGUUGAAAGGGAAGCGUUGUCCACCAGACUCGCCCGGGGGGGCUCAGCCGGCACUUGUGCCGGUGUACUCCUCCCCGGGCGGGCCAGCAUCGGUUUGGGCGGCUGGUGAAAGGCCCCGGGAAUGUAACACCCUCCGGGGUGCCUUAUAGCCCGGGGUGUCAUGCGGCCAGCCUGGACCGAGGCCCGCGCUUCGGCGAGGAUGCUGGCGUAAUGGUGGUCAACGGCCCGUCUUGAAACACGGACCAAGGAGUCUAACAUCUAUGCGAGUGUUCGGGUGUCAAACCCGUCCGCGCAGUGAAAGCGAACGGAGGUGGGAGCCCUUCGGGGCGCACCAUCGACCGAUCCUGAAGUCUUCGGAUGGAUUUGAGUAAGAGCAUAGCUGUUGGGACCCGAAAGAUGGUGAACUAUGCCUGAAUAGGGCGAAGCCAGAGGAAACUCUGGUGGAGGCUCGCAGCGGUUCUGACGUGCAAAUCGAUCGUCAAAUUUGGGUAUAGG